GUAUAGUUUGAUGCCAUAAUCCCCACUUAGAGUGUGCAGGAAUGCUUUGUUCGGGUUAGUGGGCGACAUCUCUGUCGUGAUACUCCUGUUGGAGAGCGAAUUUACUUUGGUUGCACUUGGAGGACUAAAUAAUCUCAUCAGCGGUGACCUGGCCUGGAUUCUGCUCCAGCCGCCUGGAAGACACCCCUCCAGCCGUCAUGUUGACUCACACUCUGUCGUCUUCAGGGACCUGAGCGACGAGAAAACGAAAUCUUAGAAAGCUGGGUUUGCCGGACACGACACAUAGUUGAGAAGAAUCCACCUCAUGACCCCAAGUCUUGGGAACUAUUUUUUGCACCUGGAGCCAUAAAACCAAAGAUCUCUAGGAUUCAGCCUGGUGAUAUAAAUGGAUGAGGUAAAUAAGGUAAAAGAGAAAAAAUGAUGAUGUAAAUAUUAUGAAAAAUGGCAGCUGACUUUGACCUUAUUAUCUGGGGCUAAUAGGAAGUACUGAAGACUGGGGAACUACCUCAUCUUAAAGGAAAGUGACCAGCAUGAAGGUGAAAAUCUGAAUUUUCAGUUACCAAAACCAAAACAUAGGAGCCAAUCUUGAUUCUUCCUUAUUUCUCUUACCCUACAGCCUAAUCUGGACUCGUUAGCCAGAAUUUGAUCGCCUCUCCACAACGCCUGCUUUGCCUCUAAGCCGCUGUCAUCUCUCUCACUUCAAAUAUGCCCUCCCAGGUGUUCUCGCAAAGCUCACUCUUGAUUAUCUACACUUCUCAGACUUUCUUUUGCAGUUUUUCAAAAGACAAUGCCAGGCAUAGAUUGGGAGAGAACAUUUUCAUUAUAUGAAUUUGAAAAAGAACUUAUAACCAGAAUUUUUUAAAAAAUUCCUGUAAUAACUCAAUAAUAAUAAGAGAUAAACAAUUUCAUUAAAAAUACGGCCAGAAGAUUUGAGUAGCUACUUCAUACAGAAGAUACCUGAGAGCCAAAAGCAUACCAGAAGGCUCAUUAGGGAAAUGCAAAUUAAAACCACACUGAGAUACAGCCACACAACCAUUAGAAUGACAGUUCAUAGCUUGGGAAAAACAUUUGCAAAUCAUGUGUAUCAUCUGCUUCUGUGUAAUAAAUAAAGUCCAGCAUCUUAAAAUGAUCUCAUAAUUUCUGUGUGUCAGGAGUUUGGGCAUGGCUUAACUGGGUCUUCUGUUUUAGUAUCUCUCACAGUGCAAUAAUCAAGAUUUCAGCCAGAGUUGGAAUAUCAUCCAAAGGCUGGAUGUGCAAUGGACCUUCUUCCAAACUCACAUGGUGAUUGCAGAAUUGAAUUCUUCCAGGGAGUUUGGGUUAAAUGCCCUGACCUUUCUUAAUUCCUUGAGUGUGGACCUCUCCAACAUGACAGCUUGCUUCAUCAAAUUAUGUAAGCCAACAAGGCAAUAUAGAGUCUACCAGCAAGAUGUAAAAUACAGUUUUGUGUAACCUAAGACUCAGUAGUGACAUAUCAUUUGUUUUCCUCCUACUAAUUAGAAACAAGACACAAGUCGCACCUACCGGCAGCACCUAAUACGAAGAUGUGAAUACAAAGAAAUUGGGAUCAUUGGUAACUGUCCUAGGAGGUGCCUAUC
This is a long non-coding RNA of Mustela lutreola (European mink), 1595 nucleotides long. RefSeq lists it as uncharacterized. The transcript has 3 exons. NCBI's taxonomy places the organism in Eukaryota, Metazoa, Chordata, Mammalia, Carnivora, Mustelidae. The record is from RefSeq and is a predicted model, not a curated record.